Molecule: ribosomal RNA, 465 nt
Filed under: Vreelandella stevensii
Lineage: Bacteria; Pseudomonadati; Pseudomonadota; Gammaproteobacteria; Oceanospirillales; Halomonadaceae
Description: partial 16S ribosomal RNA
Rfam family: Bacterial small subunit ribosomal RNA
Source: RNAcentral
CCUACGGGUGGCUGCAGUGGGGAAUAUUGGACAAUGGGCGAAAGCCUGAUCCAGCCAUGCCGCGUGUGUGAAGAAGGCCUUCGGGUUGUAAAGCACUUUCAGUGGGGAAGAAAGCCUUGGGGCUAAUACCCUCGAGGAAGGACAUCACCCACAGAAGAAGCACCGGCUAACUCCGUGCCAGCAGCCGCGGUAAUACGGAGGGUGCGAGCGUUAAUCGGAAUUACUGGGCGUAAAGCGCGCGUAGGCGGUCUGAUAAGCCGGUUGUGAAAGCCCCGGGCUCAACCUGGGAACGGCAUCCGGAACUGUCAGGCUAGAGUACAGCAGAGGAAGGUAGAAUUCCCGGUGUAGCGGUGGAAUGCGUAGAGAUCGGGAGGAAUACCAGUGGCGAAGGCGGCCUUCUGGACUGAAACUGACGCUGAGGUGCGAAAGCGUGGGUAGCAAACAGGAUUAGAUACCCCAGUAGUC